UCCGGUUUGUCACCGGCAGUCUCGCAUGAGUCUCCAACUAAAUGCUGGCAACAUGCGACGGGGGUUGCGCUCGUUGCGGGACUUAACCCAACAUCUCACGACACGAGCUGACGACAGCCAUGCAGCACCUGUGCAGUCGGCCCCUUGCGGGGAAACCACAUUUCUGCGGCGAUCCGGCCCAUGUCAAGCCUUGGUAAGGUUCUUCGCGUUGCAUCGAAUUAAUCCGCAUGCUCCGCCGCUUGCGCGGGCCCCCGUCAAUUCCUUUGAGUUUUAGCCUUGCGGCCGUACUCCCCAGGCGGGGCGCUUAAUGCGUUAGCUGCGGCACAGAAGGCCGGAGAGGCCCCCCACACCUAGCGCCCAACGUUUACAGCGUGGACUAC
RNAcentral lists this unclassified non-coding RNA (380 nucleotides) under uncultured Actinomycetes bacterium. RNAcentral describes it as "uncultured actinobacterium contains 16S-23S intergenic spacer region". The record is from RNAcentral. Lineage: Bacteria; Bacillati; Actinomycetota; Actinomycetes.